ACCGUGCUUGCACGGUCUGAUUAGUGGCGAACGGGUGAGUAACACGUGAGUAACCUGCCCCCCACUCUGGGAUAACCUCGGGAAAUCGGGGCUAAUACCGGAUAUGAGCUCCUGCCGCAUGGUGGGUGCUGGAAAGUUUUUCGGUGGGGGAUGGACUCGCGGCCUAUCAGUUUGUUGGUGAGGUAAUGGCUCACCAAGGCGAUGACGGGUAGCCGGCCUGAGAGGGCGACCGGCCACACUGGGACUGAGACACGGCCCAGACUCCUACGGGAGGCAGCAGUGGGGAAUAUUGCACAAUGGGCGAAAGCCUGAUGCAGCGACGCCGCGUGGGGGAUGACGGCCUUCGGGUUGUAAACCUCUUUCAGUAGGGAAGAAGCGAAAGUGACGGUACCUGCAGAAGAAGCGCCGGCUAACUACGUGCCAGCAGCCGCGGUAAUACGUAGGGCGCAAGCGUUGUCCGGAAUUAUUGGGCGUAAAGAGCUUGUAGGUGGCUUGUCGCGUCUGCCGUGAAAACCCGAGGCUCAACCUCGGGCGUGCGGUGGGUACGGGCAGGCUAGAGUGUGGUAGGGGAGACUGGAACUCCUGGUGUAGCGGUGAAAUGCGCAGAUAUCAGGAAGAACACCGAUGGCGAAGGCAGGUCUCUGGGCCAUUACUGACACUGAGAAGCGAAAGCAUGGGGAGCGAACAGGAUUAGAUACCC
RNAcentral lists this ribosomal RNA (700 nucleotides) under Brachybacterium sp. Its description in RNAcentral is "bacterial SSU rRNA". It matches the Rfam family "Bacterial small subunit ribosomal RNA", at positions 73 to 787 of the family's 1533-position model. Lineage: Bacteria; Bacillati; Actinomycetota; Actinomycetes; Micrococcales; Dermabacteraceae. The record is from RNAcentral.